GCACUGCUGACGAGUCCCAAACAGGAUGAAUCAGCUGUCCAGUGC
Molecule: non-coding RNA, 45 nt
Filed under: Echinostoma caproni
Lineage: Eukaryota; Metazoa; Platyhelminthes; Trematoda; Plagiorchiida; Echinostomatidae
Source: RNAcentral